RNAcentral lists this ribosomal RNA (257 nucleotides) under uncultured prokaryote. RNAcentral's name for it is "partial 16S ribosomal RNA". It matches the Rfam family "Bacterial small subunit ribosomal RNA", at positions 521 to 777 of the family's 1533-position model. The record is from RNAcentral.
UAAUACGGAGGGAGCCAGCGUUGUUCGGAAUUACUGGGCGUAAAGCGCGCGUAGGCGGCUUUGUAAGUUAGAGGUGAAAGCCCGGGGCUCAACUCCGAAAUUGCCUUUAAGACUGCAUCGCUAGAAUCCGGGAGAGGUGAGUGGAAUUCCGAGUGUAGAGGUGAAAUUCGUAGAUAUUCGGAAGAACACCAGUGGCGAAGGCGGCUCACUGGACCGGUAUUGACGCUGAGGUGCGAAAGCGUGGGGAGCAAACAGGA